RNAcentral lists this ribosomal RNA (253 nucleotides) under uncultured bacterium. Its description in RNAcentral is "partial 16S ribosomal RNA". It matches the Rfam family "Bacterial small subunit ribosomal RNA", at positions 524 to 776 of the family's 1533-position model. The record is from RNAcentral.
UACAGAGGGUGCAAACGUUGUUCGGAAUCACUGGGCUUAAAGCGCACGUAGGUGGUUCGGUAAGUGCGAUGUGAAAGCCCCCGGCCCAACCGGGGAACUGCAUCGCAGACUGCCGAGCUUGAGAGUGGUAGGGGAGACUAGAACUCCUGGUGGAGCGGUGAAAUGCGUAGAUAUCAGGAGGAAUACCGGUGGCGAAGGCGAGUCUCUGGUCCGCUUCUGACACUUAGGUGCGAAAGCUAGGGGAGCAAACGGG